This 884-nucleotide ribosomal RNA is filed under the name Candidatus Uzinura diaspidicola. RNAcentral's name for it is "bacterial SSU rRNA". It matches the Rfam family "Bacterial small subunit ribosomal RNA", at positions 307 to 1188 of the family's 1533-position model. The record is from RNAcentral. Lineage: Bacteria; Pseudomonadati; Bacteroidota; Flavobacteriia; Flavobacteriales.
CCCACACUGGAACUGAGACAAGGACCAGACUUCUACGGGAAGGCAGCAGUGAGGAAUAUUGGUCAAUGGAGGAAACUCUGAACCCAGCUAUGCCGCGUGUACGGAAGACAGUCUUUUAGAUUGUAAACUACUUUUGCAUAGAAAUAAAAGUUACUACGUGAUAGUAACCUGAAGGUACUAUGCGAAUAAGUGUCGGCUAAUUUCGUGCCAGCAGCCGCGGUAAUACGAAAGACACAAGCGUUAUCCGGAUUUAUUGGGUUUAAAGGGUGUGUAGGUUGUUUAUUAAGUCAGUAGUGAAAGCUUACAGCUUAACUGUAAAAUUGCUAUUGAUACUGAUAAUCUUGAGUAAGAUUGGAGCAUUUGGAAUGUAUGGUGUAGCGGUGAAAUGCAUAGAUAUCAUACAGAACACCAAUAGCGAAGGCAGGAUGCUAAAUCUUCACUGACGCUGAGGCACUAAAGCGUGGGGAGCAAACAGGAUUAGAUACCCUGGUAGUCCACGCCCUAAACGAUGAUCACUAGCUAUUGGAAAAACUAUAUUCAGUGGCUAAGCUAAAGCGAUAAGUGAUCCACCUGGGAAGUACGAUCGCAAGAUUGAAACUCAAAGGAAUUGACGGGGUUCCGCACAAGCGGUGGAGCAUGUGGUUUAAUUCGAUGAUACGCGAGGAACCUUACCAAGGCUUAAAUGUAUUACGAAUAAGCUGGAAACAACUUAGUCUAUAAGACGUAAUACAAGGUGCUGCAUGGUUGUCUUCAGUUCGUGCUGUGAAGUGUUGGGUUAAGUCCUAUAACGAGCGCAACCCCUAUUGUUAGUUGCCAGCGGGUAAAGCCGGGGACUCUAACAAAACUGCCGAUGCAAAUCGUGAGGAAGGUGGGGAUAAUGUCAA